AGGCUGUAGGAAGUAAAACAUGCUUCUGAAAAGACAUUUGUUGUUGAAUAUACUAACAAAUUAUCGAGUAGCUGACUCAAAGACUAGCAUCUCAGACAUCCAACUGUUUAUGAGAUUGAAUUUACACUCUUUAGAAUGCUAAAUUGUUAGAUUUAUUUAAUGGGGUAGAUUGAAUGCUUCCCUAUUGUUGCUUCAUUAGCAUAUGGGUUUGAGAAGAAGAAUAACGAGACGAUUUUGGUUUUCGAUCUUGGAGUUGGUACUUUUGAUGUUUCGGUUCUUGAGGUUGGAGACGGAGUUUUCGAGGUGUUAUCUACAUCAGGUGACACUCAUUUAAGAGGUGAUGACUUCGAUUAGAGAAUGGUAGAUGGCUAGCAGAAACUUUGAAGAAGAAUGAGGGUAUUGAUCUUCGGAAUGACAGAGAAGCUCUUCAACGUCUAACUAAAACAUGGACUCGCGAACGGGUGUCGGACAUAAAGACAUGUCCAAGUGUCCGAUCCAGCAAGUUCCAAAAUUUUAAGACACGGGAAAUAUGUCCGAUAUUUUAACACGGGUAUGGGGGCACGUCUAUACGUCACUUAAUUGAUGCCAAAUGUUCCUACAUAAAUCUGGUUGUACAUAAUUGAUGUCAAGUGGUGGUGUCAAGAUGUUUGUGAUUGGUGGCAAGAAGGGAUAUAAUGGUGAAGUUCUAAGUGCACUGUUGUCCAUUCACACUAAAUAUCGGUGAUUUUGAUCAUUUUUGUUGGUGGUAUUUAAUACUCCCAUUUCAGAAACCUUGAUUAAUUUUUUCUACUAUUCCACUUUUUUUUGUUGAUAAUUUACUCUAUCUAAACACAUGUAACCUACUAAAUAUUGUAAUUAUUUAUUCAAUAUUUUUGGAUUUGUCAAUUAGCCUUAUUCCUAAUAUUUUUUAUAUUAGUUCACGUUUUACCGAUCAAUGAGUACACAAUUUAUAUAUCAAAUUUAUU
Molecule: long non-coding RNA, 965 nt
Organism: Chenopodium quinoa (quinoa)
Lineage: Eukaryota; Viridiplantae; Streptophyta; Magnoliopsida; Caryophyllales; Amaranthaceae
Exons: 3
Source: RefSeq, a predicted model, not a curated record